UGGGGAAUAUUGCACAAUGGACGAAAGUCUGAUGCAGCAACGCCGCGUGGAGGAUGACACAUUUCGGUGCGUAAACUCCUUUUAUAUAGGAAGAUAAUGACGGUACUAUAUGAAUAAGCACCGGCUAACUCCGUGCCAGCAGCCGCGGUAAUACGGAGGGUGCAAGCGUUACUUGGAAUCACUGGGCGUAAAGAGCGUGUAGGCGGGUAUAUAAGUCAGAAGUGAACUCCAAUAGCUUAACUAUUGAACUGCUUUUGAAACUGUAUACCUAGAAUGUGGGAGAGGUAGAUGGAAUUUCUGGUGUAGGGGUAAAAUCCGUAGAGAUCAGAAGGAAUACCGAUUGCGAAGGCGAUCUACUGGAACAUUAUUGACGCUGAGACGCGAAAGCUUGGGGAGCAAACA
This 402-nucleotide ribosomal RNA is filed under the name uncultured prokaryote. RNAcentral's name for it is "bacterial SSU rRNA". It matches the Rfam family "Bacterial small subunit ribosomal RNA", at positions 355 to 774 of the family's 1533-position model. The record is from RNAcentral.